AGAGAAUUCACAGCUUGCCUUCCGUGCAGUGCUCAUCCAGUGCCUUGAGCUCUCUGCCCUUCAGCCCCAGGAAAGAUGGGCCCAUGGCUUAGCUUGAUUCUCAUGGCAGCAGCUCUGCAAGGUACCUGGUCCCAGGUGCAGCUGGUGGAAUCUGGCGGAGAUGUGAGGAAGCCUGGAGACUCUCUGCGCCUCUCCUGCAAAGCCUCUGGGUUCACCUUUGGAGAUUACUGGAUGAGCUGGGUGCGACAGGCUCCUGGGAAGGGGCUGGAGUGGGUUGCCAAGAUUAGUUACUGGGCUGGGAGUACCAUAAACUACGUUAACUCGGUGAAGGGGAGAUUCACCAUCUCCAGGGACAACCCAAAGAAUCUGCUGCACCUGCAGAUGAACAGCCUGAAACCUGAGGACACAGCCCUGUAUUACUGUACCAGACACACAGGUUUUCAAACUGUUCCACGGGACCCUAGGGUUCUGCGCUGGGUCAUCAGGGGUUUGUUCUGCAAAGAGAUUGGAGGUGUCAGCUCCCAGAUCCAGAUGACACAGUCUGGGGCAGAAGUCAAGAAGUCUGGGGAGUCGGCCAAGCUGAGCUGUAAAACCUCUGGCUACACAUUCACCGACUACAACGUGAUCUGGAUAUAUCAACUGUCCAGGAAAGGAUUAAAGAGUUGA
This is a non-coding RNA of Alligator sinensis (Chinese alligator), 666 nucleotides long. NCBI's taxonomy places the organism in Eukaryota, Metazoa, Chordata, Crocodylia, Alligatoridae. The record is from the annotation of a RefSeq genome assembly.